RNAcentral lists this ribosomal RNA (1535 nucleotides) under uncultured bacterium. Its description in RNAcentral is "bacterial SSU rRNA". It matches the Rfam family "Bacterial small subunit ribosomal RNA". The record is from RNAcentral.
GAUAUUUUUUACUAUGGAGAGUUUGAUCCUGGCUCAGGAUGAACGCUAGCGGCAGGCUUAACACAUGCAAGUCGAGGGGCAUCACGUCUUCGGAUGGUGGCGACCGGCGCACGGGUGCGUAACACGUAUACAACUUGCCCGUCAUAGGGGAAUAACCCGGAGAAAUUCGGACUAAUACCCCGUAAGUAUAGAGGGGGCAUCCUCUUUAUAUUAUAGAUUUAUUGAUGACGGAUAGGUAUGCGCAGCAUUAGGUAGUUGGUGAGGUAACGGCUCACCAAGCCGACGAUGCUUAGGGGAACUGAGAGGUUUAUCCCCCACACUGGUACUGAGACACGGACCAGACUCCUACGGGAGGCAGCAGUGAGGAAUAUUGGUCAAUGGACGAAAGUCUGAACCAGCCAUGCCGCGUGCAGGAUGACGGCUCUAUGAGUUGUAAACUGCUUUUGUAUGAGGGUAAAGUUGGGUACGUGUACCCAUUUGAAAGUAUCAUACGAAUAAGGAUCGGCUAACUCCGUGCCAGCAGCCGCGGUAAUACGGAGGAUUCAAGCGUUAUCCGGAUUUAUUGGGUUUAAAGGGUGCGUAGGCGGUUUUUUAAGUUAGUCGUUAAAUCUCUGAGCUCAACUCAGACAUGGCGAUUAAUACUGGAGAACUAGAGAUUAGUUGCAGAGGGCGGAAUGUGUAGUGUAGCGGUGAAAUGCUUAGAUAUUACACAGAACACCGAUUGCGAAGGCAGCUCUCUAAGCUACAUCUGACGCUGAGGCACGAAAGCGUGGGGAUCAAACAGGAUUAGAUACCCUGGUAGUCCACGCUGUAAACGAUGAUAACUCGUUGUCGGCGAUACACAGUCGGUGACCAAGCGAAAGCGAUAAGUUAUCCACCUGGGGAGUACGACCGCAAGGUUGAAACUCAAAGGAAUUGACGGGGGCCCGCACAAGCGGAGGAACAUGUGGUUUAAUUCGAUGAUACGCGAGGAACCUUACCCGGGCUUGAAAGUUAGUGACCGCCGAUGAAAGUUGGCUUUCCUUCGGGACACGAAACUAGGUGCUGCAUGGUUGUCGUCAGCUCGUGCCGUGAGGUGUCGGGUUAAGUCCCAUAACGAGCGCAACCCCUAUUCUUAGUUGCUAACAGGUAAUGCUGAGGACUCUAGGGAGACUGCCGGUGUAAACCGAGAGGAAGGUGGGGAUGACGUCAAAUCAGCACGGCCCUUACGUCCGGGGCGACACACGUGUUACAAUGGACGGUACAGAGGGUUGCAACACAGCGAUGUGAAGCUAAUCUCUAAAAGCCGUUCUCAGUUCGGAUCGCAGGCUGCAACUCGCCUGCGUGAAGUUGGAUUCGCUAGUAAUCGCGCAUCAGCCAUGGCGCGGUGAAUACGUUCCCGGGCCUUGUACACACCGCCCGUCAAGCCAUGGGAGUUGGGGGUGCCUGAAGUACGUGACCGCAAGGAGCGUCCUAGGGCAAAACCGAUGACUGGGGCUAAGUCGUAACAAGGUAGCCGUACCGGAAGGUGCGGCUGGAACACCUCCUUUCUGGAG